CGGGUGAGCCGGGUGAUCGCCGACAGAGGCCGUGAAACGGCGGCGUAAGGCGCCGCCAUAAGGCCGAAGUGGGAGGAAAGUCCGGACACCAUCCUGAGUUGUAAAACAGGAGACAUCCCUUCGGCUCCUUACGGAGCCUCAGGGUAAAGGGCAACGCGCCUGAUAACGUCAGGGGGCCGGCCACGCAGGCUCUGCCGCAAGGCAGAGUUUCGCGCUUUGGCGCGUGGCGCCGGGUUGAACCCGGUGCGGUGCGGCCAAGCUACGGAAAGUGCCACAGAGAAUAGACCGCCAGCGGAACGCAGCACAGUGGCAGAGCGCAGGGAAACCUGGGCGACGCCAGAAUGCAUGCAACGUCAGGCAAGGGUGAAAAGGUGGAGUAAGAGCCCACCGCUCCGGUGGUAACACCGGGGGCACGGAAAACCCCGCGUGGUGCAAGGCCAAAUAGGAGGGGAGAGCCGGCCCGGCUCGCCGAGCACAUCUUCCAACGAAGAUGUGCUCCUUUUGCCGCAGCGCGAGCUGCUGCGAAUUGCGAACCCUCGGGUAGGCUGCUGGAGUCACGGUGCGAACCGUGGCCUAGAGGAAUGAUCGCCGCGGCGCAUAAUUCACCUCGUGAAUUGUGCGCUCGACAGAAUCCGGCUUACAGGCUCGCCCGCCAU
This 656-nucleotide RNase P RNA is filed under the name Acidobacteriota bacterium. RNAcentral's name for it is "Acidobacteria bacterium RNase P RNA component class A". It matches the Rfam family "Bacterial RNase P class A". From Rfam's summary of the family: Ribonuclease P (RNase P) is a ubiquitous endoribonuclease, found in archaea, bacteria and eukarya as well as chloroplasts and mitochondria. Its best characterised activity is the generation of mature 5'-ends of tRNAs by cleaving the 5'-leader elements of precursor-tRNAs. Lineage: Bacteria; Pseudomonadati; Acidobacteriota. The record is from RNAcentral.